UAGGCUGCAACUCGCCUACACGAAGCUGGAAUCGCUAGUAAUCGCGGAUCAGCACGCCGCGGUGAAUACGUUCCCGGGCCUUGUACACACCGCCCGUCACACCAUGGGAGCCGGUAAUACCCGAAGUCAGUAGUCCAACCUCGUGAGGACGCUGCCGAAGGUAGGAUUGGCGACUGGGGUGAAGUCGUAACAAGGUACC
RNAcentral lists this ribosomal RNA (199 nucleotides) under uncultured bacterium. Its description in RNAcentral is "partial 16S ribosomal RNA". It matches the Rfam family "Bacterial small subunit ribosomal RNA", at positions 1301 to 1500 of the family's 1533-position model. The record is from RNAcentral.